CGAAAUUACACAAAAUACACCAACAGCAAAAUAUCUGAAUAACCUUUAAGCGGCCGUGCAUAUUGAUAAAAUGGUGCACGGUGUACAAAUCUCAUUGAUUGUUUCCACGAUGUCUUGACAAGAAAAGAGCCAUCGAUCCUUUCAAUUUUCACCUCAAUCUUCCACAAAAGCACCAAAGAAAGCCAGACCACACAGAUGACCAUCACACUCCCUGAUGAUAUAUCAUCAAGAAAAAAUAGAGCAAUAAUUAGUUGUUUGUUCAUCAAUUUCAAUGUGCUCGUGCACGCACUACAGGCAACUGAAGUAGUACAAAAAAGCUACCAAAAUGUCAAUAUAAAUUAAACUCCCUUAAAUGAAAAAAGCAUGAUUAUUUCUACAAGCCAAUUAGUGGUAACGACAAAAAAAAUUACCAGAUAUUGCACCAGCUGAUGCCCUUCAAUCUAUGAUGAUGAUCUUCAGAUUCUCAUUUCC
This 471-nucleotide long non-coding RNA is filed under the name Coffea arabica (coffee). RNAcentral describes it as "long non-coding RNA (CARA_LNC002180)". Lineage: Eukaryota; Viridiplantae; Streptophyta; Magnoliopsida; Gentianales; Rubiaceae. The record is from RNAcentral.